GAUGAACGCUGGCGGCGUGCCUAAUACAUGCAAGUCGAGCGAACGGACGAGAAGCUUGCUUCUCUGAUGUUAGCGGCGGACGGGUGAGUAACACGUGGAUAACCUACCUAUAAGACUGGGAUAACUUCGGGAAACCGGAGCUAAUACCGGAUAAUAUUUUGAACCGCAUGGUUCAAAAGUGAAAGACGGUCUUGCUGUCACUUAUAGAUGGAUCCGCGCUGCAUUAGCUAGUUGGUAAGGUAACGGCUUACCAAGGCAACGAUGCAUAGCCGACCUGAGAGGGUGAUCGGCCACACUGGAACUGAGACACGGUCCAGACUCCUACGGGAGGCAGCAGUAGGGAAUCUUCCGCAAUGGGCGAAAGCCUGACGGAGCAACGCCGCGUGAGUGAUGAAGGUCUUCGGAUCGUAAAACUCUGUUAUUAGGGAAGAACAUAUGUGUAAGUAACUGUGCACAUCUUGACGGUACCUAAUCAGAAAGCCACGGCUAACUACGUGCCAGCAGCCGCGGUAAUACGUAGGUGGCAAGCGUUAUCCGGAAUUAUUGGGCGUAAAGCGCGCGUAGGCGGUUUUUUAAGUCUGAUGUGAAAGCCCACGGCUCAACCGUGGAGGGUCAUUGGAAACUGGAAAACUUGAGUGCAGAAGAGGAAAGUGGAAUUCCAUGUGUAGCGGUGAAAUGCGCAGAGAUAUGGAGGAACACCAGUGGCGAAGGCGACUUUCUGGUCUGUAACUGACGCUGAUGUGCGAAAGCGUGGGGAUCAAACAGGAUUAGAUACCCUGGUAGUCCACGCCGUAAACGAUAAGUGCUAAGUGUUAGGGGGUUUCCGCCCCUUAGUGCUGCAGCUAACGCAUUAAGCACUCCGCCUGGGGAGUACGACCGCAAGGUUGAAACUCAAAGGAAUUGACGGGGACCCGCACAAGCGGUGGAGCAUGUGGUUUAAUUCGAAGCAACGCGAAGAACCUUACCAAAUCUUGACAUCCUUUGACAACUCUAGAGGUAGAGCUUUCCCCUUCGGGGGACAAAGUGACAGGUGGUGCAUGGUUGUCGUCAGCUCGUGUCGUGAGAUGUUGGGUUAAGUCCCGCAACGAGCGCAACCCUUAAGCUUAGUUGCCAUCAUUAAGUUGGGCACUCUAAGUUGACUGCCGGUGACAAACCGGAGGAAGGUGGGGAUGACGUCAAAUCAUCAUGCCCCUUAUGAUUUAGGCUACACACGUGCUACAAUGGACAAUACAAAGGGCAGCGAAACCGCGAGGUCAAGCAAAUCCCAUAAAGUUGUUCUCAGUUCGGAUUGUAGUCUGCAACUCGACUACAUGAAGCUGGAAUCGCUAGUAAUCGUAGAUCAGCAUGCUACGGUGAAUACGUUCCCGGGUCU
RNAcentral lists this ribosomal RNA (1372 nucleotides) under uncultured bacterium. Its description in RNAcentral is "bacterial SSU rRNA". It matches the Rfam family "Bacterial small subunit ribosomal RNA", at positions 28 to 1381 of the family's 1533-position model. The record is from RNAcentral.